ACACCGGUGGUGUAGUGGUAACAUAAGAGAUUUCCAGGCACGGUUUCCUGUUCUCUUGCCAAGGGUUCGAUUCCCUUUCGGUGUA
Kockovaella imperatae is the source of this 85-nucleotide transfer RNA. It matches the Rfam family "tRNA". Rfam says of the family: Transfer RNA (tRNA) molecules are approximately 80 nucleotides in length. Their secondary structure includes four short double-helical elements and three loops (D, anti-codon, and T loops). Further hydrogen bonds mediate the characteristic L-shaped molecular structure. tRNAs have two regions of fundamental functional importance: the anti-codon, which is responsible for specific mRNA codon recognition, and the 3' end, to which the tRNAs corresponding amino acid is attached (by aminoacyl-tRNA synthetases). tRNAs cope with the degeneracy of the genetic code in two manners: having more than one tRNA (with a specific anti-codon) for a particular amino acid; and 'wobble' base-pairing, i.e. permitting non-standard base-pairing at the 3rd anti-codon position. NCBI's taxonomy places the organism in Eukaryota, Fungi, Basidiomycota, Tremellomycetes, Tremellales, Cuniculitremaceae. The record is from Rfam.